CAUUGAAACAGCAGUUCCUGUACGAUCACCAAAGUUUAGCAAUGUCAAGCCUGGUCAGUACCUAGAUGGGUGACUGCUUGGGAAUACUAGAUGUUGUAA
Molecule: non-coding RNA, 99 nt
Organism: Acanthosepion pharaonis
Lineage: Eukaryota; Metazoa; Mollusca; Cephalopoda; Sepiida; Sepiidae
Source: the annotation of a GenBank genome assembly